UGGGGAAUAUUGGACAAUGGGCGCAAGCCUGAUCCAGCAAUGCCGCGUGUGUGAAGAAGGCCUUCGGGUUGUAAAGCACUUUUAUCAGGAGCGAAACGCUGUCGGCUAAUACCCGGCGGAACUGACGGUACCUGAGGAAUAAGCACCGGCUAACUUCGUGCCAGCAGCCGCGGUAAUACGAAGGGUGCAAGCGUUAAUCGGAAUUACUGGGCGUAAAGCGUGCGUAGGCGGUUUCUUAAGUCUGCUGUGAAAUCCCCGGGCUCAACCUGGGAAUGGCAGUGGAUACUGGGAGGCUAGAGUGUGUCAGAGGGUGGUGGAAUUCCCGGUGUAGCGGUGAAAUGCGUAGAGAUCGGGAGGAACAUCAGUGGCGAAGGCGGCCACCUGGGACAACACUGACGCUGAGGCACGAAAGCGUGGGGAGCAAACAGGAUUAGAUACCCUGGUAGUCCACGCCCUAAACGAUGCGAACUGGAUGUUGGUCUCAACUCGGAGAUCAGUGUCGAAGCUAACGUGUUAAGUUCGCCGCCUGGGGGAGUACGGUCGCAAGACUGAAACUCAAAUGAAUUGACGGGGUCAUAGCUGUUUCCUG
Molecule: ribosomal RNA, 589 nt
Filed under: uncultured bacterium
Lineage: Bacteria
Description: partial 16S ribosomal RNA
Rfam family: Bacterial small subunit ribosomal RNA
Source: RNAcentral